UACGUAGGUGGCAAGCGUUGUCCGGAUUUAUUGGGUUUAAAGGGCGCGUAGGUGGCUUGGCAAGCGUGUGGUGAAAGCCCGGGGCUCAACCCCGGGUCUGCCGUGCGAACUGCUAUGGCUUGAGCACUGUAGAGGCAGGUAGAAUUCCGGGUGUAGCGGUGGAAUGCGUAGAGAUCCGGAAGAAUACCGGUGGCGAAGGCGGCCUGCUGGGCAGUGGCUGACACUGAGGCGCGACAGCGUGGGGAGCAAACAGG
This 254-nucleotide ribosomal RNA is filed under the name uncultured bacterium. RNAcentral describes it as "partial 16S ribosomal RNA". It matches the Rfam family "Bacterial small subunit ribosomal RNA", at positions 524 to 776 of the family's 1533-position model. The record is from RNAcentral.